RNAcentral lists this ribosomal RNA (160 nucleotides) under uncultured Helicobacter sp. Its description in RNAcentral is "partial 16S ribosomal RNA". It matches the Rfam family "Bacterial small subunit ribosomal RNA", at positions 355 to 507 of the family's 1533-position model. The record is from RNAcentral. Lineage: Bacteria; Pseudomonadati; Campylobacterota; Epsilonproteobacteria; Campylobacterales; Helicobacteraceae.
UAGGGAAUAUUGCGCAAUGGGGGCAACCCUGACGCAGCAACGCCGCGUGAGUGAGGAAGGUCUUCGGAUUGUAAAACUCUUUUCUUAGGGAAAAAUGGUCAUGGAGCUAAUACCCCAUGAUGUGAUGGUACCUAAGGAAUAAGCACCGGCUAACUUCGUG